Long non-coding RNA from Pyrus x bretschneideri (Chinese white pear), 2605 nucleotides. RefSeq lists it as uncharacterized. The record is from RefSeq and is a predicted model, not a curated record. The transcript has 3 exons. Lineage: Eukaryota; Viridiplantae; Streptophyta; Magnoliopsida; Rosales; Rosaceae.
CAAAACUUUUUUUUUUAUUAUUAUUUUUUUUCUUCUUUUAACAUGGUGCCAACGCACCAUUAUUUUUCUUCUUCUUUUCACAUCCAAAAGCAACCAAACCCCUACUUUCGUCAGUUUUUGUUUCCCCAAAAAUGCAGAGGGAGAGAAAGAGGAUGACAACAAAUCAAAACUCCCCUCCGAUUCGACCUCUCCCACUCCGAUUCUUUGUGGGUUUUUUCCUACUUCCCUCACAACCCCGCCGAUCGAUCUGCUCCCGGAGAAAAAUCAGCCGCCGCCGCCAUGUUUCUGUUGGACUGGUUCUACGGCGUCCUCGCCUUCCUCGGUUUGUGGCAGGAGGCCAAGAUUCUGUUUCUGGGCGCCAUUGCUGCAGAUCCUUGAUUUCAUGAGUGGGAGAGGGGGUACAGUCAGAGAAAAACAUGGGGACCAUCGGGAUUUGAGGAAGAGGGGUAUUUGGCUUAUUUUCGUCAGAUUUCUCAAACGCUUUUGCUAAUGAAGAGAGUGUUCGGUUCUUUGAUUUCUUUUGUCUGCCUCCUUCUAUGUUGCUUUGUUAGUUUCAUUCUCCAGUGCUGGCUCAUGGAAAUUUGUAAAAGUGGCUGUAGAUUUCUGAGAAGGUUAUGUUUUUUGUGUAAUCCCAUUUGAGGUUAAAACUCACAAAACAAAGGAAAACAGAUAAGAGAAUGAUGAAAAUUUUGUAUCCGAAUCAAGGAAUUGAUUAUUGAGAAUUGAGUUUGUGAUUUACAGUUCAUUUUGGUAUUUGAUUGAUAGUCGGUGCUCAUAAUUUGGAUUUUUUUUAAUUAAAAUUGUUUGCAGAGAGAGAGAGAAAGAGUUCGUUCGACGCUUAAACCAGAGCCAGGUUAUUCUCAAUCCCCAGAUAGUGAUUAUUUAACGACUUCUCCAAACUUGGCUACUCAGCUUUUCAAAUACAGAUCAGAGAGGAGUCAGAUGAGCUAGAAUCAAGUUGUUCAAGGUCCCCGCGUAAGUGAGUAAAUCAGCAAUCAACAUCACAAUAGUGUUGUGGUCUGUGACAAAUGGAGACGGUAAAUUUCCGGUCGCAUGCUUCACCUGGAGGAGAACUCCUAGAUGUUGAGGAGAUGGAAUAUACAUUUGUGUGCUGCCGAUGGAGAUUUGUACCAACCACCCUCCUCCAUAGUCUGCUGUAUUAUAAACAACACAGAAAGUUUAUGAAUGGGAAAACAUUACUCUAAUGAUAUCAGCAUGUAACUGAGUCACUAUCAAAUUUGUUAAUCUUUUUGCUGCAAAUUAUGCAAAAGAAAAUUAUUUGUUGUCACAAUCAAAGUUGAGUCAGCAUGUAACUGAGUCAAUGGCAUGUUCGUAAAUAUAGAGAAAUUUGGGUCCAAAAACUAUUUGACAGCCGAAAUCCUAUGUCUAAGUAACAGCCUCAACCAAGGCCAAACACAAUCCUCUCUCACUCCUCCCUCCCUCCCCCAACUCUGCCGCGUUCCUCUUCCGCCAUGCCAAGAACCCACAUCCCCAUUAUGAACGUCGGAACUUCUCCACAAAUCUCAGCUGGGUUAGUACAUUUUCUUUAGUUAUCAUCUUUUAGUUGUUUAAUUUUUUGAAUCCAUUCUUCUCUGAAACUCUUUCAUUCACGCACGUCGUCGGUCUUUUAUAAGCUCAUGUUCUUAAUUAGCUAGCAAAUGAGUUUGAGUUGUGCGCAGAUAUUCUAACGGUUGAUGACACAUGUCAAUGUCAUUAACUAAUAUGGAAGAAUUGAAAAUUAGGAACUCCUGAUAUCAUUAGAGUAAUGUUCCAGAGAUCAUUUUCCCAUUCAUUAACUUUCUGCGUUGUUUAUAAUACAGCAGCACUAUGGAGGAGGGUGGUCGGUACAAAUCUCCACCGGCAGCACACAAAUGUAUAUUCCAUCUCCUCAACAUCCUAGGAGUUCUCCUCCAGGUGAAGCAUGCGACCGGAAAUUUACCGUCUCCAUUUGUCACAGACCACAACACUGUUGUGAUGUUGAUUGCUGAUUUACUCACUUACGCGGGGACAUUGCAGACUGCCAACAUUCUCCAAGCUUCCAACAAUACAAAUAUAUAUGAACUGAUGAACAACAUCAGCCUCUUGUGCGGAACUCUUGCGUUGGUUCUAUUGGUGCUCCUCCUUGUUCCAGCUUUCGGGUGGUUUACUCUUGCAUGUUGGGCCGUAUAUUUUGCGAUAAUUGGGACCAAGUCCUACCAAACGCUAAGAACACUGUGUACUGACGCUGUUCCUUAUGUCCGUGACAAAAUGAAGGAGCUGAUGAGGAGGUUGAACGGUAGCGACAACCAAAUACGCGCUUCUUAGCUCUCUGUUUUCUCUCUCAGCUCUGCCUCUCGAUUCAUACAUAAUGCUUGGUGCCCAGAUAGCAACUUGAGCGGCUUGAUCAAGAUUUCUGCCCCUGUUUCUCUUCACUUUUGAGGUUUACGACUCAUUUGCUUUAAACUCGUUGAAAUUAUUGGCUUGUGUGUGCUUCUGUUAUGAAUUGCGUUUUGGUGCUUUGGGUUUUGUCUUUGUAUUUUUGUGGGUAGCUUUUAGGUUUUUGAGUAAGGCUGUGUUUGUUAUGGAUUUGGGAUUCUAAUAUUGCAGUUUUCAGGAGCUUAUGGUU